CGAAGCUGGAAUCGCUAGUAAUCGCGAAUCAGAAUGUCGCGGUGAAUACGUUCCCGGGUCUUGUACACACCGCCCGUCACACCAUGGGAGUCGGGAAUGCCCGAAGUCAGUGACCCAACCUUUGGAGGGAGCUGCCGAAGGCAGGUCUGAUAACUGGGGUGAAGUCGUAACAAGGUAUC
RNAcentral lists this ribosomal RNA (179 nucleotides) under uncultured bacterium. RNAcentral's name for it is "partial 16S ribosomal RNA". It matches the Rfam family "Bacterial small subunit ribosomal RNA", at positions 1321 to 1500 of the family's 1533-position model. The record is from RNAcentral.